GAUGAACGCUGGCGGCGUGCCUAAUACAUGCAAGUCGAGCGAACAGAUAAGGAGCUUGCUCCUUUGACGUUAGCGGCGGACGGGUGAGUAACACGUGGGUAACCUACCUAUAAGACUGGAAUAACUCCGGGAAACCGGGGCUAAUGCCGGAUAACAUUUAGAACCGCAUGGUUCUAAAGUGAAAGAUGGUUUUGCUAUCACUUAUAGAUGGACCCGCGCCGUAUUAGCUAGUUGGUAAGGUAACGGCUUACCAAGGCAACGAUACGUAGCCGACCUGAGAGGGUGAUCGGCCACACUGGAACUGAGACACGGUCCAGACUCCUACGGGAGGCAGCAGUAGGGAAUCUUCCGCAAUGGGCGAAAGCCUGACGGAGCAACGCCGCGUGAGUGAUGAAGGUCUUCGGAUCGUAAAACUCUGUUAUUAGGGAAGAACAAAUGUGUAAGUAACUGUGUACGUCUUGACGGUACCUAAUCAGAAAGCCACGGCUAACUACGUG
This 497-nucleotide ribosomal RNA is filed under the name uncultured bacterium. RNAcentral's name for it is "partial 16S ribosomal RNA". It matches the Rfam family "Bacterial small subunit ribosomal RNA", at positions 28 to 507 of the family's 1533-position model. The record is from RNAcentral.